AAUUUUGGACGAUGGGGGCAACCCUGAUCCAGCCAUCCCGCGUGUGCGCUGAAGGCCUUCGGUUUGUAAAGCACUUUUGGUAGGGAAGAAACGGCGCGGGCUAAUAAGCCGCGCAAUUCACGGUACCUGCAGAAUAAGCACCGCCUAACUCCGUGCCAGCAGCCGCGGUAAUACGUAGGGUGCAAGCGUUAAUCGGAAUUACUGGGCGUAAAGCGUGCGCAGGCGGUUUGGAAAGAAAGAUGUGAAAUCCCAGAGCUUAACUUUGGAACUGCAUUUUUAACUGCCAAGCUAGAGUAUGUCAGAGGGGGGUAGAAUUCCACGUGUAGCAGUGAAAUGCGUAGAGAUGUGGAGGAAUACCGAUGGCGAAGGCAGCCCCCUGGGAUAAUACUGACGCUCAUGCACGAAAGCGUGGGGAGCAAACAGG
This 424-nucleotide ribosomal RNA is filed under the name uncultured bacterium. Its description in RNAcentral is "partial 16S ribosomal RNA". It matches the Rfam family "Bacterial small subunit ribosomal RNA", at positions 360 to 776 of the family's 1533-position model. The record is from RNAcentral.